This 500-nucleotide ribosomal RNA is filed under the name uncultured bacterium. RNAcentral describes it as "partial 16S ribosomal RNA". It matches the Rfam family "Bacterial small subunit ribosomal RNA", at positions 30 to 523 of the family's 1533-position model. The record is from RNAcentral.
AUUGAACGCUGGCGGCAUGCCUUACACAUGCAAGUCGAACGGCAGCGGGGACUUCGGUCCGCCGGCGAGUGGCGAACGGGUGAGUAAUGUAUCGGAACGUACCUUUCAGUGGGGGAUAACGUAGCGAAAGUUACGCUAAUACCGCAUAUUCUCUGAGGAGGAAAGUAGGGGACCUUCGGGCCUUGCGCUGAUAGAGCGGCCGAUAUCAGAUUAGCUAGUUGGUGGGGUAAAGGCUCACCAAGGCUACGAUCUGUAGCGGGUCUGAGAGGAUGAGCCGCCACACUGGGACUGGGACACGGCCCAGACUCCUACGGGAGGCAGCAGUGGGGAAUUUUGGACAAUGGGGGCAACCCUGAUCCAGCCAUGCCGCGUGAGUGAAGAAGGCCUUCGGGUUGUAAAGCUCUUUCGGCCGGGAAGAAAUCGUGUGGGCUAAUACCCUGCAUGGAUGACGGUACCGGAAUAAGAAGCACCGGCUAACUACGUGCCAGCCGCCGCGGUAA